RNAcentral lists this ribosomal RNA (194 nucleotides) under uncultured bacterium. Its description in RNAcentral is "partial 16S ribosomal RNA". It matches the Rfam family "Bacterial small subunit ribosomal RNA", at positions 1307 to 1500 of the family's 1533-position model. The record is from RNAcentral.
GCAACUCGCCUGCAUGAAGUUGGAAUUGCUAGUAAUCGCGAAUCAGAAUGUCGCGGUGAAUACGUUCCCGGGCCUUGUACACACCGCCCGUCACACCAUGAGAGUCGAUAACACCCGAAGCCUGUGAGCUAACCGCAAGGAGGCAGCAGUCGAAGGUGGGGUUGAUGAUUGGGGUGAAGUCGUAACAAGGUAAC